Molecule: ribosomal RNA, 253 nt
Filed under: uncultured bacterium
Lineage: Bacteria
Description: partial 16S ribosomal RNA
Rfam family: Bacterial small subunit ribosomal RNA
Source: RNAcentral
UACGGAGGUCUCAAGCGUUGUUCGGAAUCACUGGGCGUAAGGCGUGCGUAGGCUGUUUCGUAAGUCGUGUGUGAAAGGCGCGGGCUCAACCCGCGGACGGCACAUGAUACUGCGAGACUAGAGUAAUGGAGGGGGAACCGGAAUUCUCGGUGUAGCAGUGAAAUGCGUAGAUAUCGAGAGGAACACUCGUGGCGAAGGCGGGUUCCUGGACAUUAACUGACGCUGAGGCACGAAGGCCAGGGGAGCGAAAGGG